Molecule: small RNA, 89 nt
Filed under: Salmonella enterica
Lineage: Bacteria; Pseudomonadati; Pseudomonadota; Gammaproteobacteria; Enterobacterales; Enterobacteriaceae
Also listed under: 1 other name
Description: partial RtT sRNA
Rfam family: RtT RNA
About the family: This family represents a bacterial cis-regulatory element known as RtT RNA. The exact function of RtT is unknown although it is thought that it may be involved in changing the cellular response in relation to amino acid starvation.
Source: RNAcentral
GUUUGCACUUGUCGGGGAAGGGUGAGAACCUUCGAUUAAGGUUCGACUUGAGCGAAAGCGAGAGAACGUUGCCAACGGCAACGGCCCGU